Molecule: transfer RNA, 73 nt
Filed under: Stegodyphus mimosarum
Lineage: Eukaryota; Metazoa; Arthropoda; Arachnida; Araneae; Eresidae
Rfam family: tRNA
About the family: Transfer RNA (tRNA) molecules are approximately 80 nucleotides in length.
Source: Rfam by way of RNAcentral
GCCUUCGUGGUGUAGUGGUCAGCACACUGAGUGCAUAUUCCAGAGGUCCGUGGUUCGAGUCCCGGCAAAGGCG